This 1437-nucleotide ribosomal RNA is filed under the name uncultured bacterium. RNAcentral's name for it is "bacterial SSU rRNA". It matches the Rfam family "Bacterial small subunit ribosomal RNA". The record is from RNAcentral.
GAUGAACGCUGGCGGCGUGCCUAAUACAUGCAAGUCGAGCGAGAAAUUGAGAAAUGAAGCUUCGGUAGAUUUUCUUGAUGGAAAGCGGCGGACGGGUGAGUAACGCGUAGGCAACCUGCCCUUCACACAGGGAUAGCCAUUGGAAACGGUGAUUAAUACCUGAUAAUGCCGGAGCAAUGCAUAUUGCACCGGCCAAAGAUUUAUCGGUGAAGGAUGGGCCUGCGUCUGAUUAGCUAGUUGGUGAGGUAACGGCCCACCAAGGCGACGAUCAGUAGCCGACCUGAGAGGGUGAUCGGCCACAUUGGAACUGAGACACGGUCCGAACUCCUACGGGAGGCAGCAGUAGGGAAUCUUGCACAAUGGGCGAAAGCCUGAUGCAGCAACGCCGCGUGAAGGAUGAAGGCCUUCGGGUUGUAAACUUCUGUUCUUAGGGAAGAAGAAAGUGACGGUACCUAAGGAGCAAGCCCCGGCUAACUACGUGCCAGCAGCCGCGGUAAUACGUAGGGGGCAAGCGUUAUCCGGAAUUAUUGGGCGUAAAGCGUGCGUAGGUGGUUACCUAAGCGCAAGGUUUAAACUAUCGGCUUAACUGAUAAUUGCCUUGCGAACUGGGCUACUUGAGUGCAGGAGGGGAAAGCGGAAUUCCUAGUGUAGCGGUGAAAUGCGUAGAUAUUAGGAGGAACACCAGCGGCGAAGGCGGCUUUCUGGACUGUAACUGACACUGAGGCACGAAAGCGUGGGGAGCAAACAGGAUUAGAUACCCUGGUAGUCCACGCCGUAAACGAUGAGCACUAGGUGUUGGGGCCGAAUGGCUUCAGUGCCGCAGUUAACGCAUUAAGUGCUCCGCCUGGGGGAGUACGCUCGCAAGAGUAAAACUCAAAGGAAUUGACGGGGACCCGCACAAGCAGCGGAGCAUGUGGUUUAAUUCGAAGCAACGCGAAGAACCUUACCAGGGCUUGACAUCCCUCUGAAAGACUCCUUAACCGGAGUCCCUCUUCGGACAGAGGUGACAGGUGGUGCAUGGUUGUCGUCAGCCUCGUGUCGUGAGAUGUUGGGUUAAGUCCCGCAACGAGCGCAACCCUUGUUGCUAGUUACUAACAUUAAGUUGAGGACUCUAGCAAGACUGCCGAGGUCAACUCGGAGGAAGGUGGGGAUGACGUCAAAUCAUCAUGCCCCUUAUGUUCUGGGCUACACACGUGCUACAAUGGUCGGUACAAUGAGAAGCAAUACGGCGACGUGGAGCAAAUCACCAAAACCGAUCCCAGUUCGGAUUGCAGGCUGAAACUCGCCUGCAUGAAGUUGGAGUUGCUAGUAAUCGCGGAUCAGCAUGCCGCGGUGAAUGCGUUCCCGGGUCUUGUACACACCGCCCGUCACACCAUGGAAGUUGGGGGUGCCCAAAGUUGGACAGUUAAUAGUUUACCUAAGGCAAAACCAAUGACU